GAACGUUUUGGAAUACGGAACACAAGAAGACUUCCUCAGGCACUGCCUGUCUGGACCACAGUGUAGGACGCGCGAAUCUGCAGCUAGGGGGAUUCUGUGAUCACAAAGAACCCGGUGCUCAGAUUGCCUGUAUCUGGAGGGAACUCACCUGAAGGAAAAGCAACCGUGCUUUCCACAGACUCCAAAUCAUCCUCACGCUCGCCGAAAGCAGGGCGACUUUCCCCAUAGAAACAGAAGUUCUGGAUUCUCGAGAUGAGAGGGAGGCAUUUCCAUUAUCUCUGUUGGGCUCCUCAAGAGAGUUGCAUGUUCUGAUGCUUGAAGGUGACGUAACCAGCUUCUGGUGACACUCAGGCCUGGCACUGCCAACCGUGUGAACUACAGCCUUCUCCUUAUUAACCACGAUCAUCACUGACUGCUCAAGGAAGAGCCUGGGGUUUGACUCCCCAAGGGGACACUGUGACUACCAGCACAGAGCUGCCUGCCCAGCUGGGCUGCUGACUGAUGGGAAGAGGGGGCUGCAGCCUGGGAAGGUCAAGGGGGAGAAAAAGCCCAGCUCUCACCUGGAUGGACACAGGCUUUCUGUCAGGCCUCCUACUUUGCAUGUUUUUCCUCUUUCCCUGCACGGUUAGGACUCCAGCAGGAGACUGAAAGAAGAACUGGCAGGUGUAACAUCACGUCUUCAUCUCAGUAUCAUAGGGAAAACUCUGUAUUUUUUCGUAUUUUGCCUUCACACUAUAGAUGUUUUAAGAAUACACUUUUAUCAGGUUAUGCAUGCUUCUCUUCAUCCUCACUUUGCUGUUUUUAUUGCAAAUGUUGAAUUAUAAUCAAGUAUAGCCUUGCAGGGCAUAAUAAUGCUUUGGUCAACAAUGGCUCACAUAAACCAUAGUGGUCCUAUAAUACGAUACUGCUGAGUGACAGUGUAGCUGUCUCAGCUGUGUAGUGCAUUCUGAUGCUUGUUCGAUGAUGAGAUUACUUCACACAUUUCUCAGAAUGCAUCCCCUACACUAAGUGAUGUAUGACUAUAUUUCUGGAUGUAUUGAAAUGGUCCAUUUGCAAGAUAAAAUACAUUCAUUAUUACGCUGAAAUUACACCACACUUGCAUUCCUUGGAU
Heterocephalus glaber (naked mole-rat) is the source of this 1111-nucleotide long non-coding RNA. The record is from Ensembl. Lineage: Eukaryota; Metazoa; Chordata; Mammalia; Rodentia; Bathyergidae.